RNAcentral lists this transfer RNA (72 nucleotides) under Patescibacteria group bacterium. RNAcentral's name for it is "tRNA-Arg". It matches the Rfam family "tRNA". Rfam says of the family: Transfer RNA (tRNA) molecules are approximately 80 nucleotides in length. Their secondary structure includes four short double-helical elements and three loops (D, anti-codon, and T loops). Further hydrogen bonds mediate the characteristic L-shaped molecular structure. tRNAs have two regions of fundamental functional importance: the anti-codon, which is responsible for specific mRNA codon recognition, and the 3' end, to which the tRNAs corresponding amino acid is attached (by aminoacyl-tRNA synthetases). tRNAs cope with the degeneracy of the genetic code in two manners: having more than one tRNA (with a specific anti-codon) for a particular amino acid; and 'wobble' base-pairing, i.e. permitting non-standard base-pairing at the 3rd anti-codon position. The record is from RNAcentral.
GCCCCCGUGGUGAAACGGAUAUCACGCAUGGCUUCGAACCAUGAAGUCCGGGUUCGACUCCUGGCGGGGGCA